GGGGCUGACCGGUUUUGACAGCAUAGUUCUUUGUAAGUAUAAGCAUGUAGUGCGUUGCGUAAUUAGCACUUAAAUAUGAAUACGAAAACUUCAAAUGGCAAUACUCAGUAUGCCAUGGCUGCUUAAUCGAUAGAUUAGCAUCCAUUAGGGCCGUUGAGCUGGCCAGGCCUGUUGCCACGCUCUUCCGCCGACUCAAAAUAAAACGGGCUGCUGCAAUUGAAGGCUGUGACAAUUGCUUAAGACGAUACAGCUACGGAAAAGGUUGGUUUGUUUUGCCCCGGCUUUUUCCCGACAAAUAAUGCAUCACUAAACAUGUAGAAGGCUUACGGCGGAUGUGUUUGGACCAGGGUUCGACUCCCUGCAGCUCCACCA
RNAcentral lists this transfer-messenger RNA (372 nucleotides) under Bacteroidota bacterium. It matches the Rfam family "transfer-messenger RNA". From Rfam's summary of the family: Bacterial tmRNA, also known as 10Sa RNA or SsrA, is named for its dual tRNA and mRNA-like properties. The record is from RNAcentral. Lineage: Bacteria; Pseudomonadati; Bacteroidota.